GAUAGAAGAACGUAGUGAAAUGCGAUAAGUAAUGUGAAUUGCAGAAUUCAGUGAAUCAUCGAAUCUUUGAACGCACAUUGCGCCCGCCAGUAUUCUGGCGGGCAUGCCUGUUCGAGCGUCAUUUCAACCAUCAAGCCCCCGGCUUGUGUUGGGGACCUGCGGCUGCCGCAGGCCCUGAAAAGCAGUGGCGGGCUCGCUGUCACACCGAGCGUAGUAGCAUACAUCUCGCUCUGGGCGUGCUGCGGGUUCCGGCCGUUAAACCACCUUCAUAACCCAAGGUUGACCUCGGAUCAGGUAGGAAGACCCGCUGAACUUAAGCAUAUCAAUAAGCGGAGGA
This 337-nucleotide unclassified non-coding RNA is filed under the name soil metagenome. Its description in RNAcentral is "partial contains 5.8S ribosomal RNA, internal transcribed spacer 2, and large subunit ribosomal RNA". The stretch from base 5 to 121 matches the Rfam family "5.8S ribosomal RNA", at positions 38 to 154 of the family's 154-position model. The record is from RNAcentral.